CCUCACGUAGCUCAGUGGAUAAAGCAUCUGCCUGCAAUGCAGGAGACCUGGGUUCAAUUCCUGGGUUGGGA
This 71-nucleotide transfer RNA is filed under the name Bos taurus (domestic cattle). It matches the Rfam family "tRNA". Rfam says of the family: Transfer RNA (tRNA) molecules are approximately 80 nucleotides in length. The record is from Rfam by way of RNAcentral. Lineage: Eukaryota; Metazoa; Chordata; Mammalia; Artiodactyla; Bovidae. RNAcentral also lists the same sequence under 2 other names.